This 305-nucleotide ribosomal RNA is filed under the name uncultured bacterium. RNAcentral's name for it is "bacterial SSU rRNA". It matches the Rfam family "Bacterial small subunit ribosomal RNA", at positions 335 to 638 of the family's 1533-position model. The record is from RNAcentral.
UGACCUACGGGACGCAGCAGUGAGGAAUAUUGGUCAAUGGCCGAGAGGCUGAACCAGCCAAGUCGCGUGAGGGAAGACGGCCCUACGGGUUGUAAACCUCUUUUGUCGGGGAGCAAAGCGAGUCACGUGUGACUCAUUGAGAGUACCCGAAGAAAAAGCAUCGGCUAACUCCGUGCCAGCAGCCGCGGUAAUACGGAGGAUGCGAGCGUUAUCCGGAUUUAUUGGGAUUAAAGGGUGCGCAGGCGGAGGUGCAAGGCAGCGGUCGAAUUGCGGGGCUCAAGCCCGAACUGCCGAUGAAACUGAAA